Mytilus californianus (California mussel) is the source of this 245-nucleotide long non-coding RNA. RefSeq lists it as uncharacterized. The transcript is spliced from 4 exons. NCBI's taxonomy places the organism in Eukaryota, Metazoa, Mollusca, Bivalvia, Mytilida, Mytilidae. The record is from RefSeq and is a predicted model, not a curated record.
UUUCUGGGACAUGUUUCAUGGUAUUGGGAGUAAGGCUUGGUGGCUUACUACAGCUAAGAUAUAAGCUGAUGUAAUGACAAUGAUUUCAUGGUGUUGGGAGUAAGAAUUGGACAUCUGAUACUUCUACAUAUAAUAUGUUGGUUAGCAUCACAGCUUGUCCUUAGGGGUACUGGCUGGGGUAGCAAUUGGAUAUGCUUCGAGGUGUAUUCCUGCUGCUGCCUUGUGUGGUCAAUCCUGUGGACAAU